CUCAUUUUGACCCUAAUUUUUUGUAAACUUUCAAGUCUACAAACACUUAUUAUAAUUUGGCGACAGUUCUGCUGAGCGAAGGACAAGGCUAGGGAAACGUUUGUGAUGGAUAAACAUUUCUAGAUUUUUGUGAUGUUUAAAACACCAGAUAUUUCUCACCUAAAAGCUGAAGAUUAUGAUCAUGUAUAUGAGCCAGCAGAGGAUACCUUCUUGCUCCUGGAUGCACUGGAAAAGGACAAUGCUUUCAUCCAGAAGACCAGACCUACUCUGUGUGUAGAAGUGGGGUGUGGUUCUGGAACUGUUACGACGUUUCUUUCAAAAUUGCUUGGCAACUCAGCACAAUGUAUAGGGACUGACUUGAAUGGAUUUGCUACCAGCACAACAAAGAGGACUGCCAUCCAGAAUUCAGCAUCUGUGGAGAUUGUCCAGAUGGAUCUCGUUAAUUCCUUUCUACCAAGGCUUUGUGGCCAAGUUGACUUGAUUCUGUUUAAUCCACCUUAUGUUGUCACCCCCUCUGAGGAGGUUGGUGUUGGUGGCAUCACAGCUUCGUGGGCUGGUGGCAUCCAUGGUAUGGAAGUUACAAAUCGAUUCCUUCCAAUUGUGCCCAAACUUCUUUCUCAAGAGGGUGCAUUUUACUUGGUUGCAAUUAAAGAGAAUAAAAUUGGUAAUGCUUUCUAAUAAUACAGUCAAAAUUGUUUCAAAUUCAACAUUUUCAUAACAGUUUUUUUGUAAAGACAAUACUCUAUGCAUUAUAAGAUGAUAAAGCCAGUGCUGUCUGAUGUGGGGUCCAGCAAACUACAAAACCCAAGUAGCUAAGCCUCUGGAGCUAAAAAAAAAAAAACUGGGCAAUUUUAGGCCCUAUUAAAAAAAAUCCUUUAUUUCCGUUUUUGGUCUGAUAAUUUAAAAAAGCAUUUAUGAAUUGUGUACAACAUUAAAAGAACAGGCCCCUACUAUAGGUUAAAGAAAAAUUCAAACUACAGUACUCUACUAUGUUCUUGAAUUGUCCAUCCUAUGGGGAAGCCUAUGUGAAUCCCAUACUUUUUCUGCUCCUAAACUUAUAAAUAUAUAUAUUUAAUAUGAGCAUAACAGGUUUUGUUAUUUUAAAUUUGGAUUUUUUACCUCCUUUGAAAUAUGUAAAUACAUAGGUAAAAGUUAGUUAUUUUGUAUACAUAACAUGUAUUAAACUGUGGAGGUGUUUAGUUCAGUUAUAUAACUCCAUGAUAAAAGCAUCUUCGUAUUACAGUUAAACUUGCCUAAAAGCCGGCUUUGCCCAAGUCGAAUAAUUUCUAAGUCGAUCUAAUUUUACAUGCCGAAUCAUGUUUUUCAUUAUAUAACAAUCUGUAAGUCAAAUUUUAUCCAAGUC
Anneissia japonica is the source of this 1363-nucleotide RNA transcript. It is a transcript of the gene named methyltransferase N6AMT1-like, with no coding region annotated. The record is from RefSeq and is a predicted model, not a curated record. The transcript is spliced from 6 exons. Lineage: Eukaryota; Metazoa; Echinodermata; Crinoidea; Comatulida; Comatulidae.